RNAcentral lists this transfer RNA (76 nucleotides) under Fusobacteriaceae bacterium. Its description in RNAcentral is "tRNA-His". It matches the Rfam family "tRNA". From Rfam's summary of the family: Transfer RNA (tRNA) molecules are approximately 80 nucleotides in length. The record is from RNAcentral. Lineage: Bacteria; Fusobacteriati; Fusobacteriota; Fusobacteriia; Fusobacteriales; Fusobacteriaceae.
GUGACUGUAGUUCAGUUGGUAGAGCGCCAGAUUGUGGAUCUGGUUGGCGCGGGUUCGAGCCCCGUCAGUCACCCCA